Molecule: unclassified non-coding RNA, 21 nt
Filed under: Chlamydomonas reinhardtii
Lineage: Eukaryota; Viridiplantae; Chlorophyta; Chlorophyceae; Chlamydomonadales; Chlamydomonadaceae
Description: small RNA Cre_2848
Source: RNAcentral
UGAAGCUUGUAUGUUUGGAAG